Molecule: ribosomal RNA, 1395 nt
Filed under: Nitrosomonas sp.
Lineage: Bacteria; Pseudomonadati; Pseudomonadota; Betaproteobacteria; Nitrosomonadales; Nitrosomonadaceae
Description: partial 23S ribosomal RNA
Rfam family: Bacterial large subunit ribosomal RNA
Source: RNAcentral
GAUCAAGUGAAUAAGUGCAUGUGAUGGAUGCCUUGGCGAUUACAGGCGAUGAAGGACGUGGAAGCCUGCGAAAAGCUUCGGGGAGCUGGCAAACAAGCUGUGAUCCGGAGAUAUCCGAAUGGGGAAACCUGAUUCUUGCUCAAUCAAUUUUGGUUUUGAAGAUUUGAUUGAGCAAGAAUCAACCUUAACUGAAUAUAUAGGUUAAGCGUGGCAAACCUGGAGAACUGAAACAUCUAAGUAACCAGAGGAAAAGAAAUCAAUUGAGAUUCCCAGAGUAGUGGCGAGCGAAAUGGGAGUAGCCAUCAAUAUUUUAGCAUUUGAAUUAAUCGAAUUUUCUGGAAAGUUAAGCCAUAGUGGGUGAUAGUCCCGUAGAUGAAAAUUCAAAUGUAGAACUAAGAUUGAAAUAAGUAAGGCGGGACACGUGAAAUCCUGUUUGAAGAUAGGGGGACCAUCCUCUAAGGCUAAAUACUCGUAAUCGACCGAUAGUGAACAAGUACCGUGAGGGAAAGGUGAAAAGAACCCCGGAAGGGGAGUGAAAUAGAUCCUGAAAUCGCAUGCAUACAAACAGUGGGAGCUUGAUAUAUUAUGUAUCGAGUGACUGCGUACCUUUUGUAUAAUGGGUCAGCGACUUACAUUCAGUAGCAAGCUUAACCGAAUAGGGGAAGCGUAGCGAAAGCGAGUCUUAAUAGGGCGUUUAGUUGCUGGGUGUAGACCCGAAACCAGAUGAUCUACUCAUGGCCAGGAUGAAGCGAGGGUAACACUUCGUGGAGGUCCGAACCCACUAAUGUUGAAAAAUUAGGGGAUGAGCUGUGGGUAGGGGUGAAAGGCUAAACAAAUCUGGAAAUAGCUGGUUCUCUCCGAAAACUAUUUAGGUAGUGCCUUACGUAUCACCUUUGGGGGUAGAGCACUGUUAUGGCUAGGGGGUCAUUGAGACUUACCAAACCAUUGCAAACUCCGAAUACCAAAGAGUGCAAGCGUAGGAGACAGACAUCGGGUGCUAACGUCCGGUGUCAAAAGGGAAACAACCCAGACCCUCAGCUAAGGUCCCAAAGAUAUAGUUAAGUGGGAAACGAAGUGGGAAGGCAUAAACAGUCAGGAGGUUGGCUUAGAAGCAGCCAUCCUUUAAAGAAAGCGUAAUAGCUCACUGAUCGAGUCGUCCUGCGCGGAAGAUGUAACGGGGCUUAAACUAUGCACCGAAGCUAGGGAUUUACAUAUUAUGUAGAUGGUAGGAGAGCGUUCCGUAAGCCUGCGAAGGUGGUUUGUAAAGACUGCUGGAGGUAUCGGAAGUGCGAAUGCUGACAUGAGUAGCGAUAAAGGGAGUGAAAGGCUCCCUCGCCGAAAACCCAAGGUUUCCUGUGCAACGUUCAUCGGCGCAGGGUGAGUCGGCCCCUAAGG